This 253-nucleotide ribosomal RNA is filed under the name uncultured bacterium. RNAcentral's name for it is "partial 16S ribosomal RNA". It matches the Rfam family "Bacterial small subunit ribosomal RNA", at positions 524 to 776 of the family's 1533-position model. The record is from RNAcentral.
UACGUAGGGACCAAGCGUUGUCCGGAAUCAUUGGGCGUAAAGAGCGUGUAGGCGGCUUGUUAAGUCUUGCGUGAAAUCUCGGGGCUCAACCCCGAGCGGUCGUGAGAAACUGGCAGGCUAGAGUGCGGGAGAGGAGAGUGGAAUUCCUGGUGUAGCGGUGAAAUGCGCAGAUAUCAGGAAGAACACCAAUGGCGAAGGCAGCUCUCUGGGACGGUACUGACGCUGAGACGCGAAAGCGUGGGGAGCGAACAGG